GUCAGCUGACACAUCCCUGCCAAUCUCCGGCAGACCCUCCCUCCCAGACCCUCCUACUUCCUGGACAGCAUCCAUGUUGAAGGCAGCUUCAACAUGGAUGCUGUCCAGGAGGUGGGAGGGUCUGGGAGGGAGGGUCUGCCGGUUAUUGGCAGGGAUGUGUCAGCUG
This is a non-coding RNA of Pelobates cultripes (western spadefoot toad), 166 nucleotides long. The record is from the annotation of a GenBank genome assembly. Lineage: Eukaryota; Metazoa; Chordata; Amphibia; Anura; Pelobatidae.